UCCGUAGGUGAACCUGCGGAAGGAUCAUUACCGAGUGAGGGCCCUCUGGGUCCAACCUCCCACCCGUGUUUAUUUUACCUUGUUGCUUCGGCGGGCCCGCCUUAACUGGCCGCCGGGGGGCUUACGCCCCCGGGCCCGCGCCCGCCGAAGACACCCUCGAACCCUGUCUGAAGAUUGUAGUCUGAGUGAAAAUAUAAAUUAUUUAAAACUUUCAACAACGGAUCUCUUGGUUCCGGCAUCGAUGAAGAACGCAGCGAAAUGCGACACGUAAUGUGAAUUGCAAAUUCAGUGAAUCAUCGAGUCUUUGAACGCACAUUGCGCCCCCUGGUAUUCCGGGGGGCAUGCCUGUCCGAGCGUCAUUGCUGCCCUCAAGCACGGCUUGUGUGUUGGGCCCCGUCCUCCGAUCCCGGGGGACGGGCCCGAAAGGCAGCGGCGGCACCGCGUCCGGUCCUCGAGCGUAUGGGGCUUUGUCACCCGCUCUGUAGGCCCGGCCGGCGCUUGCCGAUCAACCCAAAUUUUUAUCCAGGUUGACCUCGGAUCAGGUAGGGAUACCCGCUGAACUUAAGCAUAUCAAUAAGCGGAGGAA
RNAcentral lists this ribosomal RNA (586 nucleotides) under uncultured fungus. RNAcentral's name for it is "eukaryotic LSU rRNA". The stretch from base 207 to 359 matches the Rfam family "5.8S ribosomal RNA". The record is from RNAcentral. Lineage: Eukaryota; Fungi.